GCUAGGCGCAGUGGCAUGUGCCUGUAAUCCAGCAAUUUAGGAGACUGAGGCAGGAGGAUCACAAGUUUGAGGCUAGCCUCAGCAACUUAUCAAGGCCCUAAGCAACUUGGUGAGACCCUGUCUCAA
This 126-nucleotide small RNA is filed under the name Marmota monax (woodchuck). Lineage: Eukaryota; Metazoa; Chordata; Mammalia; Rodentia; Sciuridae. The record is from RNAcentral.